RNAcentral lists this ribosomal RNA (253 nucleotides) under uncultured bacterium. Its description in RNAcentral is "partial 16S ribosomal RNA". It matches the Rfam family "Bacterial small subunit ribosomal RNA", at positions 524 to 776 of the family's 1533-position model. The record is from RNAcentral.
UACAGAGGCCUCAAGCGUUAGGCGGAAUCACUGGGCUUAAAGCGUGUGUAGGCGGGUCGUUAAGUACCUUGUGAAGUCCCACGGCUUAACUGUGGAACGGCUUGGUAUACUGGCGAUCUUGAGCCACUUAGGGGCUACCGGAACAGAUGGUGGAGCGGUGAAAUGCGUAGAUAUCAUCUGGAACGCCAAUGGUGAAAACAGGUAGCUGGGAGUGUGCUGACGCUGAGACACGAAAGCCAGGGGAGCGAACGGG